RNAcentral lists this long non-coding RNA (423 nucleotides) under Fukomys damarensis (Damara mole-rat). RNAcentral's name for it is "lncRNA (ENSFDAG00000032449.1)". Lineage: Eukaryota; Metazoa; Chordata; Mammalia; Rodentia; Bathyergidae. The record is from RNAcentral.
CUGCUGGGUUGAAUUACUGGUUUAUUGUAAAACACAGUUACUCUGGCUGUGCCACAGGCCUUUUAAUAUGGCUGGAGCCUGUAACUUUUAAGCCCUCGCAUGACUUCAGCGCGAGAGACAGCUGCAGUGGUCCCCCAGUCUCUAGCUGAAACAUAAAAAUGAAAACCUGGGAAGUGCCAGCUCGUGCCCUGGGUCCCAGAAAACAGAUCAGUUCCAUUCCCCGCAGCAACGUGAAAGGUGACCACAUCUCAGAGGCAACUGAGAGAAGCAAGGAAAGACACAGAAAGGACUGCGGUCCUUUCCCCACAACUUGAGUAAGAGGCAAUGGGUGUUCAUCUUCUCCGGAGGCGGGCACAAACCCCUCCUCCUGGUCCAGGCACAGUAGUGAGGUGGGGGUGAUGUGCUUAUGUGGUAUAGUCCAGC